UACGUAGGGGGCGAGCGUUGUUCGGAAUUACUGGGCGUAAAGGGCUCGUAGGCGGCCAACUAAGUCAGACGUGAAAUCCCUCGGCUUAACCGGGGAACUGCGUCUGAUACUGGAUGGCUAGAGGUUGGGAGAGGGAUGCGGAAUUCCAGGUGUAGCGGUGAAAUGCGUAGAUAUCUGGAGGAACACCGGUGGCGAAGGCGGCAUCCUGGGACCAAUUCUGACGCUGAGGAGCGAAAGCCAGGGGAGCAAACGGGG
Molecule: ribosomal RNA, 255 nt
Filed under: uncultured bacterium
Lineage: Bacteria
Description: partial 16S ribosomal RNA
Rfam family: Bacterial small subunit ribosomal RNA
Source: RNAcentral